RNAcentral lists this ribosomal RNA (456 nucleotides) under Leptotrichia sp. oral taxon 219. RNAcentral describes it as "bacterial SSU rRNA". It matches the Rfam family "Bacterial small subunit ribosomal RNA", at positions 28 to 499 of the family's 1533-position model. Lineage: Bacteria; Fusobacteriati; Fusobacteriota; Fusobacteriia; Fusobacteriales; Leptotrichiaceae. The record is from RNAcentral.
GAUGAACGCUGACAGAAUGCUUAACACAUGCAAGUUAAUGGGGAAGAUAUAGCUUGCUAUAUUGGGAACCAUAGCGGACGGGUGAGUAACGCGUAAAGGACUUACCCUCAGGACUGGGAUAACAGAGGGAAACUUCUGAUAAGACCGGAUAUAAUAUAUGUAUUGCAUGAUAUAUAUAUGAAAGGGAACGCCUGAGGAGAGCUUUGCGUCCUAUUAGUUAGUUGGUGGGGUAACGGCCUACCAAGGCGAUGAUAGGUAGCCGGCCUGAGAGGGUGGACGGCCACAAGGGGACUGAGAUACGGCCCUUACUCUACGGGAGGCAGCAGUGGGGAAUAUUGGACAAUGGAGGUAACUCUGAUCCAGCAAUUCUGUGUGCAUGAAGAAGGUUUUCGGAUUGUAAAGUGCUUUCAGCAGGGAAGAAGAAAGUGACGGUACCUGCAGAAGAAGCGACGGGUA